RNAcentral lists this ribosomal RNA (570 nucleotides) under uncultured bacterium. Its description in RNAcentral is "partial 16S ribosomal RNA". It matches the Rfam family "Bacterial small subunit ribosomal RNA", at positions 355 to 918 of the family's 1533-position model. The record is from RNAcentral.
UGGGGAAUUUUGGACAAUGGGCGAAAGCCUGAUCCAGCAAUGCCGCGUGUGUGAAGAAGGCCUUCGGGUUGUAAAGCACUUUUGUCCGGAAAGAAAUCCUUGGCUCUAAUACAGCCGGGGGAUGACGGUACCGGAAGAAUAAGCACCGGCUAACUACGUGCCAGCAGCCGCGGUAAUACGUAGGGUGCAAGCGUUAAUCGGAAUUACUGGGCGUAAAGCGUGCGCAGGCGGUUUGCUAAGACCGAUGUGAAGUCCCCGGGCUCAACCUGGGAACUGCAUUGGUGACUGGCAGGCUAGAGUAUGGCAGAGGGGGGUAGAAUUCCACGUGUAGCAGUGAAAUGCGUAGAGAUGUGGAGGAAUACCGAUGGCGAAGGCAGCCCCCUGGGCCAAUACUGACGCUCAUGCACGAAAGCGUGGGGAGCAAACAGGAUUAGAUACCCUGGUAGUCCACGCCCUAAACGAUGUCAACUAGUUGUUGGGGAUUCAUUUCCUUAGUAACGUAGCUAACGCGUGAAGUUGACCGCCUGGGGAGUACGGUCGCAAGAUUAAAACUUAAAGGAAUUGACGGGG